GAUGAACGCUGGCGGCGUGCCUAAUACAUGCAAGUCGAGCGAACGGACGAGAAGCUUGCUUCUCUGAUGUUAGCGGCGGACGGGUGAGUAACACGUGGAUAACCUACCUAUAAGACUGGGAUAACUUCGGGAAACCGGAGCUAAUACCGGAUGAUAUUUUGAACCGCAUGGUUCAAAAGUGAAAGACGGUCUUGCUGUCACUUAUAGAGGGAUCCGCGCUGCAUUAGCUAGUUGGUAAGGUAACGGCUGACCAAGGCAACGAUGCAUAGCCGACCUGGGAGGGUGAUAGGCCACACUGGGACUGAGACACGGUCCAGACUCCGACGGGAGGCAGCAGUAGGGAACCUUCCGCAAUGGGCGAAAGCCUGACGGAGCAACGCCGCGUGAGUGAUGAAGGUAUUCGGAUCGUAAAACUCUGUUAUUAGGGAAGAACAUCUGUGUAAGUAACUGUGCACAUCUUGACGGUACCUAAUCAGAAAGCCACGGCUAACUACGUG
Molecule: ribosomal RNA, 497 nt
Filed under: uncultured bacterium
Lineage: Bacteria
Description: partial 16S ribosomal RNA
Rfam family: Bacterial small subunit ribosomal RNA
Source: RNAcentral